AUGGCCAAGGAAGGGGACGAGCCGUCGGACUUGGAGAGGGGGUCCAGGCCUGGCUCCGUAGUAAUCGUUGUCGUUGCGCCGCCAGCAAACUUCGGCGCCCGGCCAAGGUCCUCCGCUGCCGCCGGCGGAGAAGACGACGACGACGAUCGCAAGAUGCCGAACUACGUUUGGGUGCCUCUGCAGCUGCUGCUGACGGCGGUCGCGUGCUGCCCGCUGCUGGCGCUGGUUAUGACGCGGACGGACUGGGUGGAGAAGGUCGUCUUCUCCGCCGUUCUGCUGCCCACAGUCGUCGGCGUCUUCUUCUUCCUGCGCGCCGUGUGCAAGAGGCCGCGCAUGGCCGUCGUGACAAGCAUGAUCAAGAGAUAG
Molecule: ribosomal RNA, 366 nt
Filed under: Triticum aestivum (bread wheat)
Lineage: Eukaryota; Viridiplantae; Streptophyta; Magnoliopsida; Poales; Poaceae
Description: partial small subunit ribosomal RNA
Source: RNAcentral